Long non-coding RNA from Acipenser ruthenus (sterlet), 3520 nucleotides. RefSeq lists it as uncharacterized. The record is from RefSeq and is a predicted model, not a curated record. The transcript has 4 exons. NCBI's taxonomy places the organism in Eukaryota, Metazoa, Chordata, Actinopteri, Acipenseriformes, Acipenseridae.
AUUAUUUCUGGCGCUUCACACAGAUUAACAACCUUGUUGUCACGGCAACCCUUUCCAGCCGAGAGUGCUGCUUCUCUGUGAUUGGCUCUGUCUGGGAGAUGCUUUAAUGUACUCAUCUCGUUUGCUUAGAUUUCUCUGCCUUUUUCAUCUGAUUUCCCUGCUUUGGGGAUGAAGAGCCGUCUCGGGUCACAGUAAUGAACACUGCAGAUGAUUGCAGAGAGUGGUGGAGGCUUGGCGCGCAGACUUGGAUUAGUUGAAUUUUUAGGGGGCUGGUUGAGGCCUGUAUUUUUUUGAUUGUUGAUACUGAAAUAUAUGGGGUGAGACAACUCUUUAAGAGGAAUGGAGAAGCAGGCCAGAUAUUGAGAAUCACCAGUCAAGCAAGAGAGGCAGGUUAUGAGUCAUUAACCAUUCCAAACCAUUCCCAAAACUCUAAAUUAUCCUCUGUGUUUCUAAUUACCCAAGUGUUGGAAGGGGGCUUAUUGAGAAUUAAACAUGUCUUGAGUGCAUUUCUCUGCUAGCUGCCUGAAUUGACUAAUCACAGAAGGGCUUAAAGGACGGAGCUACGAAGACAGGCUGAACGAACUGAAUCUGUUUAGCCUGGAACAAAGAAGAAUCAGGAGGACACGACUGAAGUCUUUAAAAUCUGAAAAGGAGUUGACAUAGUUGGAAAUGAAGUGGAGAAUGACUUGGACAGAGGGGAAGGAAACACUUCUUCACACAGAGAAUGGUCAGACUGGGCUGAACAAGCGGGACACGGUCCAUGGCAGGAAGAUGGAACGGUUUCGCCAAAUCAGAUUGUACAGCAAUGCCCCACACAGCUCAGGAGACCUGAAGGUUCAGCAGGCGUCCUCCGAUCCAACGACAGAACCAGCUUCCUCUUCUAUACUUUAUUAUUAUUAUUUGUUUAUUUAGCAGAUGCCUUUAUCCAAGGCGACUUACAGAGACUAGGGUGUGUGAACUAUGCAUCAGCUGCAGAACCACUUAGAAUUACGUCUCACCCGACAGACGCUUAACACAGAGGUUAAGUGACUAGCUCAGGGUCACACAAUGAGUCAGUGGCUGAGGUGGGAUUUGAACCGGGGACCUCCUGGUUACAAGCCCUUUUCUUUAACCACUGAACCACACUGCCUCCUCACCCAGGAACUUGAGAGCAGAUGUCAGAGAGCUACCAGCCUCUGGAGGAUAAAGGCCAGCCCAGCAGGUGUCCACACUGGGCUCACUAGACGUCUGGCCAGUAGGGUCCGCUGUGAUGAGGAGAAAGAGUCCCUGCUGGUUUUGCCCCCCUGACCUGCAGGAGCGUCAAUGCGACGCUCCCUUCAAAAUCUCCAGCGAAGACUGGUGACUUCGCACAUCCAGGAUGCGAACUCCCCUGGCUGUAUGACCCUCUGCACACCAUACAGCCAUGCUUUUACCAGGUGAGCCAUUAGGGGAUCCCCUAUGGUUAAAUAUUUUAAAUGAUUCUCAAUGAUUAUUAAUACCAUUCUAUUGGAAUUCCUAUCGAUGUGUGGUGACAUACAGUAGGUCUCCCUAAGUGUCACAUUUCUACACACACACACACAAAAGUAUCUAAAGGUGUUGCCAGUUUAUUACGAAGUUGGGUCUUUUGGUGAAAAUCAACCUGCAUAUAUUCCGAAAUAAAUACUGAAAGAAAUGACAAACCAGGGCCAACACCAGGCUAUAUGAAUGGGAGAGCUGUAGUAUGAGCUCAGAAGCAGAGUCCCAGCAAACUGAAAUAACACAACUGCACUGAACUGUUUCAGAAGAAAAUGCCGCUCUUUAGACCACAACAAAAGCAGAAAACAUAAGUGUGUUACCAAACAUCCAAGCUACCACAGGCUGAGAAGGACUUCUGUAAUCAUCUUGAGAGAAGCCCUGAAAUAAAAACAUCCACUUCUCAGCGCGCAGGAGGGAGUCGUGAUGGUUCAAGUGUAUGGAAACAGGGUGCUUAUGACACUACUGGGUUGCCAUGGAGACUCCGGGUCACCAAGGGGGGGUGUACCAUAAUGGGCUUAUUGAGUUCGCUUUCCCCUGCAUCAUCCUUUAUUUCAUUAUAAUAAAGGUGUGCUUUUAUGAAAGUAGUGCUCAUUAACUUUCAAGGAUAGCGAGCAACCAGCAGGGAGGAAAUGUAAUGUCAAGUACAGUGCUGCUCCUUAAGAAUCGAUACAUUCUAGAGAAUUGAUCCAUCAGCUGGCUUUAUAAUGUGUCAUUAGGUAGUAAAUGAAUGAAUUAAAGUCAGCAAUAACAAUACAUGAUUUUGCCAACUGCAAAAAGAAUAGCAGUUUAGUAGAUAAGUUCAAUCCUGGCACCCACUGAGUACUGGCUCCGAUUUGGGUUUUACAUGGUGCUUGUUAAGCACACUUUCCCAGCACUACAUCGCUUCCCUUAGGGUAGAAGCCUCACCUGAAUGGAGGGGCCCUUCAACACCUGGUGAGAAUAUGGUCAGGCUCGAUUGGAUACCUAAUUGCCAGUAUAAGAUGCCCUGUCUUCAGCCUUGUCCAUCACAACAUUACCCUCUCUCCUGGAUGUACUCUUACCUAUCAUGACGCAUGCAGUCUGUUUUCUAUGAUGGAUGCAGUGCUGACGCAAACACAGUCACUUGCGGUGUCCCUCAAGGGUCUGUUCUUGGGCCUCUUCUCUUUGACAUCUACAUGCUUCCCUUGGGUCACCUCAUCCGCCAGCACAGCCUCAUAUUUCACUCCUAUGCAGAUGACAUCCAGCUCUACCUAAAACUCAACCCUGGAUGUCCCUCGGCCAUGGUCUGGCUCUCAGCUUGCAUCCAAGACAUUGAGGCCUGGAUGUUUGCCAAUUUUCUUCAGCUCAACACUAACAAAUCUGAACAUCUUCUAGUAGGAUCGAAAACUCAACUCAAGAAUCUCAAUAUUGCUGCCUUGAACCUUGGAAACUGUCUGCUGCUGCCUUCCCCCACUGUACGAAGCCUUGGUGUACUUCUGGAUAGUAACCUAUCCUUUGAUGCCCAAAUCUCCUCUGUAGUCAAAUCCUCCUUCUACCACCUGCGAAACACCUCAAAGGUCUGUCCCUACCUUUCCCUCCCGGAUGCAGAGAUACUCUGCCAUGCAGUCAUCUCCUCUCGACUACUGCAACUCAGUAAAAAACAGUCGCUCGUUUCAAAUCAACUCUCAAGACCAACUUGUUCUCGCUUGCUUUCAAUGCUCUUUAAGCCUGAUAUCUGUUAUUAGCUGUUGUCUAAAUUGCUAUUUCAGGUUUUUCACUCCAUCUUAUUCGUAUGAUUCUGUAUGACACACGCAUCCACAGUGUUUAGAAUUCACAUCCUUGCCCUGUAUUUAAUGUAAUAUGCCUGUAGUUAAUGUAUUUACAUUGUAAUAUGCCUGUAUCUAAUGUAUUUGCAUUGUUUUUUACUGUUUGUAUUUAAUGUGCUAUGUCCUGUAUUUCACUGUAUUUAAUGUAUUAUGCAUUGUUCCUCACUAUCUUGUAAAGCGCUUUGUGAUGGUGGUCCACUAUGAAAGGCGCUAUGUAAAAUAAAUAUUGAUUGAUUGAUGAA